This 253-nucleotide ribosomal RNA is filed under the name uncultured bacterium. RNAcentral describes it as "partial 16S ribosomal RNA". It matches the Rfam family "Bacterial small subunit ribosomal RNA", at positions 524 to 776 of the family's 1533-position model. The record is from RNAcentral.
UACGUAGGGCGCAAGCGUUGUCCGGAAUUAUUGGGCGUAAAGAGCUCGUAGGCGGCCAGUUGCGUCUGCUGUGAAAUCCCGGGGCUCAACCCCGGGCGUGCAGUGGAUACGGGCUGGCUAGAGGCAGGCAGGGGAGAACGGAAUUCCCAGUGUAGAGGUGAAAUUCGUAGAUAUUGGGAAGAACACCAGUGGCGAAGGCGGCUCUCUGGACCGUAACUGACGCUGAGGCGCGAAAGCGUGGGGAGCAAACAGG